Molecule: ribosomal RNA, 253 nt
Filed under: uncultured bacterium
Lineage: Bacteria
Description: partial 16S ribosomal RNA
Rfam family: Bacterial small subunit ribosomal RNA
Source: RNAcentral
UACGAAGGGGGCGAGCGUUGUUCGGAUUUACUGGGCGUAAAGAGCGCGCAGGCGGUCGUUCAAGUCGAGUGUGAAAGCCCCCGGCUCAACUGGGGAGGGUCACUCGAUACUGAUCGACUCGAAGGCAGGAGAGGGAAGUGGAAUUCCCGGUGUAGUGGUGAAAUGCGUAGAUAUCGGGAGGAACACCAGUGGCGAAGGCGACUUCCUGGCCUGUUCUUGACGCUGAGGCGCGAAAGCUAGGGGAGCAAACGGG